CCGCCCCGCCGCGCCUCGCCCCGCCGCGGGGAAGACUGAGCCGGCCCCUCCGUCACAGGCGAGGCCCUCGGCGUCCUGGAGGCGACCAUGCGGGAGUCGGGCGCACACGUCUGGGGCAGCUCCGCGGCUGGGCUGGCGGGCGGCGUGGCGGCUGCCGUGCUGCUGGCGCUGUUGGUCCUGCUGGUGGCGCCGCCGCUGCUGCGCCGCGCAGGGAGGCUCAGGUACGCGGGGCGGGGGCGCGGAGGUGGGGCUGGGGGUUGCUCCGAGGGGCUCACGCUGCGUCCCCGCUACGCCCUCAGGUGGAGGAGGCACGAGGCGGCGGCCCCGGCUGGAACGCCCCUCGGCUUCCACAACCCGGUGUUCGACGUGACGGCCUCCGAGGAGCUGGUGAGGGGGCUGGAGGGGGGACCGGGGCCUCCUCGGGGCCGGGACUCGGCGCCGACCGCCGCCUGACCCUGUCACCCCGCAGCCCCUGCCGCGGCCGCUCAGCCUGGUUCCGAAGGCGGCCGCAGA
RNAcentral lists this small RNA (513 nucleotides) under Pan troglodytes (chimpanzee). RNAcentral describes it as "retained intron". The record is from RNAcentral. Lineage: Eukaryota; Metazoa; Chordata; Mammalia; Primates; Hominidae.